UACGGAGGGUGCGAGCGUUAAUCGGAAUUACUGGGCGUAAAGCGCACGCAGGCGGUUUGUUAAGCUAGAUGUGAAAGCCCCGGGCUCAACCUGGGAUGGUCAUUUAGAACUGGCAGACUAGAGUCUUGGAGAGGGGAGUGGAAUUCCAGGUGUAGCGGUGAAAUGCGUAGAUAUCUGGAGGAACAUCAGUGGCGAAGGCGACUCCCUGGCNAAAGACUGACGCUCAUGUGCGAAAGUNUGGGUAGCGAACAGG
This 253-nucleotide ribosomal RNA is filed under the name uncultured bacterium. RNAcentral's name for it is "partial 16S ribosomal RNA". It matches the Rfam family "Bacterial small subunit ribosomal RNA", at positions 524 to 776 of the family's 1533-position model. The record is from RNAcentral.